RNAcentral lists this ribosomal RNA (666 nucleotides) under Vibrio sp. MR06-85. RNAcentral describes it as "bacterial SSU rRNA". It matches the Rfam family "Bacterial small subunit ribosomal RNA", at positions 46 to 683 of the family's 1533-position model. Lineage: Bacteria; Pseudomonadati; Pseudomonadota; Gammaproteobacteria; Vibrionales; Vibrionaceae. The record is from RNAcentral.
GCAUAGACAUGUGUCCUGAUGCAGUCGAGCGGAAACGACACUAACAAUCCUUCGGGUGCGUUAAUGGGCGUCGAGCGGCGGACGGGUGAGUAAUGCCUAGGAAAUUGCCUUGAUGUGGGGGAUAACCAUUGGAAACGAUGGCUAAUACCGCAUAAUGCCUACGGGCCAAAGAGGGGGACCUUCGGGCCUCUCGCGUCAAGAUAUGCCUAGGUGGGAUUAGCUAGUUGGUGAGGUAAUGGCUCACCAAGGCGACGAUCCCUAGCUGGUCUGAGAGGAUGAUCAGCCACACUGGAACUGAGACACGGUCCAGACUCCUACGGGAGGCAGCAGUGGGGAAUAUUGCACAAUGGGCGAAAGCCUGAUGCAGCCAUGCCGCGUGUAUGAAGAAGGCCUUCGGGUUGUAAAGUACUUUCAGUUGUGAGGAAGGGGGUAUCGUUAAUAGCGGCAUCUCUUGACGUUAGCAACAGAAGAAGCACCGGCUAACUCCGUGCCAGCAGCCGCGGUAAUACGGAGGGUGCGAGCGUUAAUCGGAAUUACUGGGCGUAAAGCGCAUGCAGGUGGUUCAUUAAGUCAGAUGUGAAAGCCCGGGGCUCAACCUCGGAACUGCAUUUGAAACUGGUGAACUAGAGUACUGUAGAGGGGGGUAGAAUUUCAGGUGUAGCGGUG